GCAAGUCGAACGAGAAUGUUACUUCGGUAACAGGACAGUGGCGCACGGGUGAGUAACGCGUAGAGAUCUACCAAGCAGUGGGGAACAACUAUUGGAAACGAUAGCUAAAACCGCAUACGCCCUUUGGGGGAAAUAUUUAUAGCUGUUUGAUGAGUCUGCGUUAGAUUAGCUAGUUGGUGAGGUAACUGCUCACCAAGGCAACGAUCUAUAGCUGGUUUGAGAGGAUGAUC
This 230-nucleotide ribosomal RNA is filed under the name uncultured bacterium. Its description in RNAcentral is "partial 16S ribosomal RNA". It matches the Rfam family "Bacterial small subunit ribosomal RNA", at positions 57 to 305 of the family's 1533-position model. The record is from RNAcentral.